AGGAAACUGGUCAUCCCUGGGCUCUUUAGGAUGCCUCCAGAUUGGUGCAUCUCCUGCCUGAGCCUCUGUGGCAGGUGGAAUCAUGGGCUAUGGAAUGUCUUGAAAUUCCAGAGUCUCCUACCAGACUGCUUGAUUUAUUUCAGUGACAGCUGUGGCCUGUGGUCUGUGGCCAAGAAAAACUGUUGGAGAAAUUUAAAAGGGUGUUACCCUCACAGAAACCUAAAAGAAAAAGGAUGCAGACUCCAAGCCUUUAUUAAAACACAAACAUAGGACAGCCUCAAAAAUAAGGAGGAGGCUGCAAAGAACCAGACCCAAAACAAUGUUUUUUUUAUGCACUCCCAGUUUACACAUGUCAUUUCUAUUCACCGCUCAAAGAAUCAUAGCAAUGUUAGCAGCUGCAACCCAAUGUCGUCAUCCUGGACCAAUCAAAAUCAUUUGGCUCUUCAGAUCAGCCCUCAUCAUAAUAUCAUGUGAUUACAUAUAACCAUUUUUCAGCAUCCUUCUUUAUUAAGACUUUGACUAAUUUUCCUGUUCAUUAAAUGUCUUCCAAGAUCCUCAUUCAUCUGUCUACAACUCAUGAUUAAUCACCAUUGCCAUGUCUAGCCAAUUCUCUUUUCAUGCAUAGACUCUAAUAGUUUAUUCUUUUCAGUGUCCUGCAAUGGACAUUCACGAUGUGCAGGACUUAAAAGAAGCUAGUUCUGUACUGCAGAAGGCAGGUACAUAUCCUUUUGGUUUAGCUAGGCCAUAAACUAAAAAGAAAAUGGAAUCAUCAAAAUGAAACUAUUAUUUUCUACAACAUGUCUGCCACUGCUUACUUUGGGAUAUAAAGGCCCUCAGACAGAAAUCCCACCCACCUCAGUUAUCCCUGCAAGCCCAUCCCUUAUUAGGAAUGAAAUGUAAUACAUGUUUUCCAUGGAUUUGGAUCAGUCACAAACUUAAAGAAGCAUAUAGGCCUAUGGAGAUUUAUGAAAUUGUAAAAUUAAAAGAAAGGAACAAUCAACAGUGGAAGGUUAUAACUUCCAGUGGUUAUUUCAUUUACAAUUAAGUUGGAUGAAAAGACUUAUGGUACGCAACAAAAGAAGAUGGAUUCUGAGAUGCAAUGAUAUAAUAAAGAUGAACAUGUUAUAUCAAAAAUGUAGAAACUUUCCCUAAAAUUUGAAAGUGAAGAGGAAUGCAUUCAAAUUGGUGCAUCUCCUGCCCACCCCCUGCGGCAUUUGGGAUUAUGCCUCUGUGGAAUCAUGGGCUGUGAGAUUUCACGAGAUUUCACAAUCUCCCGCCAGAAGGCUUGAGUCAUGUCAAUGAUGGCUGUGGUUUGUGGCUGAGAAGGUUUGCUUCUGCUUACUCUGGGAUCUAAAGGCGCUAUGACAGGAAUCUUGUCCUCCUCUAUUAUCUCUGCAAGCCCAUCCCUUAUUAAGAAUGAAACGUAAUACAUGUUUGCCACGGUUCUCACAAAAGAGUUUGGAUCAGUCAAAAACUUAAAGAAGCAUAUUGGUUUAUUACCACAUUCUCUAUAAUAGCCUUUUAACCAUGCCAAUGUCCUCUCUUCUUCUUUCUUUCUUUGUUUGUUCGUCUAGUUUUUCAAAUUCUGCUUCCAUUGCCAUUGCUUCUUCCAAGGAUGAAUUAUUUUGCCUAACUUGCACCCCCUCAGCAGGAGGUUCAGCACCAAAGCCAGUGGUUCCCCCCUCUGAAGGCCUUUGGCGAGUCUCCAUCGCUCCUCUCUCUU
This is a long non-coding RNA of Podarcis raffonei (Aeolian wall lizard), 1723 nucleotides long. RefSeq lists it as uncharacterized. The transcript has 2 exons. Lineage: Eukaryota; Metazoa; Chordata; Lepidosauria; Squamata; Lacertidae. The record is from RefSeq and is a predicted model, not a curated record.